UUUUCUGUAGGUGGAGAUCUCAACAUCCAGGGCUAGUUUGAUGUCCAGCAGCUCUUGAUUUCUCAUAUUCCAUUCGCAUCUUGUUGAGUGCUACAGAGAUGUCGAAGGACUUCCCGGUGUCUACUUCAAUCAUUGAGACUGAAGUAUCCAUUGUUGUUGUGCCCAGUUUAGAUUGCAAAGAUGACAAUUCCUACAGUGAUAAACAUAACACAGAGAGAGAAAUUAACACUUGUGUUUAGCUAGGUUGCGUUAAAUUAAUGUAAGUCUUUUACAUUGUUACAUUAUUUCAAAUAAAUGCUGUUCUUUCAAGCUUUC
Molecule: long non-coding RNA, 315 nt
Organism: Ctenopharyngodon idella (grass carp)
Lineage: Eukaryota; Metazoa; Chordata; Actinopteri; Cypriniformes; Xenocyprididae
Exons: 2
Source: RefSeq, a predicted model, not a curated record